CAACCUGCCGAUGACUCGGGGAUAGCCUUUCGAAAGAAAGAUUAAUACCCGAUGGCAUAAUUCUUCCNCAUGGUAGAAUUAUUAAAGAAUUUCGGUCAUCGAUGGGGAUGCGUUCCAUUAGGUUGUUGGCGGGGUAACGGCCCACCAAGCCUUCGAUGGAUAGGGGUUCUGAGAGGAAGGUCCCCCACAUUGGAACUGAGACACGGUCCAAACUCCUACGGGAGGCAGCAGUGAGGAAUAUUGGUCAAUGGGCGCAGGCCUGAACCAGCCAAGUAGCGUGAAGGAUGACUGCCCUAUGGGUUGUAAACUUCUUUUAUAAAGGAAUAAAGUCGGGUAUGGAUACCCGUUUGCAUGUACUUUAUGAAUAAGGAUCGGCUAACUCCGUGCCAGCAGCCGCGGUAAUACGGAGGAUCCGAGCGUUAUCCGGAUUUAUUGGGUUUAAAGGGAGCGUAGAUGGAUGUUUAAGUCAGUUGUGAAAGUUUGCGGCUCAACCGUAAAAUUGCAGUUGAUACUGGAUAUCUUGAGUGCAGUUGAGGCAGGCGGAAUUCGUGGUGUAGCGGUGAAAUGCUUAGAUAUCACGAAGAACUCCGAUUG
This 594-nucleotide ribosomal RNA is filed under the name uncultured Bacteroidota bacterium. RNAcentral describes it as "bacterial SSU rRNA". It matches the Rfam family "Bacterial small subunit ribosomal RNA", at positions 122 to 715 of the family's 1533-position model. The record is from RNAcentral. Lineage: Bacteria; Pseudomonadati; Bacteroidota.